RNAcentral lists this long non-coding RNA (355 nucleotides) under Citrus sinensis (sweet orange). RNAcentral describes it as "long non-coding RNA (CSIN_LNC005136)". Lineage: Eukaryota; Viridiplantae; Streptophyta; Magnoliopsida; Sapindales; Rutaceae. The record is from RNAcentral.
ACACCAGCCAUAUGAUUAUAUAAAUCCGAUCUGACGGUCACGAUUACAUGGACUUAAAAUACAAAUAUGCACAGGAUUAUGAGUCAUCUUCUUCUCCUUCGCUCUUCACCGGUUGUUUGACCAAAUACAAGAAACGAAUCAAAGAAAGCAGGACAUGCAAAUGAAUCGGCCAAGUGUUGCUUGCAUCCGCUCUACAAACUGCUUUGCUGUCAUCUGAAGCUGAAGGAAUUAUCCCUAGCUCCGUCGGUUUUUUCUGCAACAAAACGACAAUCCCUGCCUUCACUCAUCUUAAUUCAUCCCCCAGUUUUGUUCCUCCUUUUUUAAUCAAUAAUUAAUUGCUGCCCCCUGUUUCCCC